Molecule: ribosomal RNA, 506 nt
Filed under: uncultured bacterium
Lineage: Bacteria
Description: partial 16S ribosomal RNA
Rfam family: Bacterial small subunit ribosomal RNA
Source: RNAcentral
GACGAACGCUGGCGGCGUGCCUAAUACAUGCAAGUCGAACGCAUUUUCUUUCACCGUACUUGCUACCCCGGAAAGAAAAGGGUUGCCAAACGGGUAGUUACACCUUGGUAAACUUCCCAACCACCGGGGAUUACCACUGGAAACCAGGUCUAAUACCCCCUAAUUUCCUUUUCCCGCUGGGAAAUGGGUUGAAGGGCGUUUUUCCGCACUUGUUGGAGGACCCGCGGUGCAUUAGCUAGUUGGUGGGGUAACGGCCUACCAAGGCUGCGAUGCAUAGCCGACCUGAGAGGGUGAUCGGCCACACUGGGACUGAGACACGGCCCAGACUCCUACGGGAGGCAGCAGUAGGGAAUCUUCGGCAAUGGACGCAAGUCUGACCGAGCAACGCCGCGUGAGUGAAGAAGGUUUUCGGAUCGUAAAACUCUGUUGUUAGAGAAGAACAAGGAUGAGAGUGGAAAGUUCAUCCCUUGACGGUAUCUAACCAGAAAGCCACGGCUAACUACGUG